This 25-nucleotide non-coding RNA is filed under the name Mus musculus (house mouse). Lineage: Eukaryota; Metazoa; Chordata; Mammalia; Rodentia; Muridae. The record is from RNAcentral.
UACAGGCAGCCAUGAGUCACUCAAC